RNAcentral lists this ribosomal RNA (501 nucleotides) under uncultured Eubacteriales bacterium. Its description in RNAcentral is "bacterial SSU rRNA". It matches the Rfam family "Bacterial small subunit ribosomal RNA", at positions 8 to 507 of the family's 1533-position model. The record is from RNAcentral. Lineage: Bacteria; Bacillati; Bacillota; Clostridia; Eubacteriales.
AGAGUUUGAUCCUGGCUCAGGAUGAACGCUGGCGGCGUGCUUAACACAUGCAAGUCGAACGAAGCACUUAAGACGGAUUACUUCGGUUUGAAGUCUUAUUUGACUGAGUGGCGGACGGGUGAGUAACGCGUGGGUAACCUGCCUCAUACAGGGGGAUAACAGUUAGAAAUGACUGCUAAUACCGCAUAAGCGCACGGUCUCGCAUGGGACGGUGUGAAAAACUCCGGUGGUAUGAGAUGGACCCGCGUCUGAUUAGCUGGUUGGUGAGGUAAGGGCUCACCAAGGCGACGAUCAGUAGCCGGCCUGAGAGGGUGAACGGCCACAUUGGGACUGAGACACGGCCCAAACUCCUACGGGAGGCAGCAGUGGGGAAUAUUGCACAAUGGGGGAAACCCCGAUGCAGCGACGCCGCGUGAAGGAAGAAGUAUUUCGGUAUGUAAACUUCUAUCAGCAGGGAAGAAAAUGACGGUACCUGACUAAGAAGCCCCGGCUAACUACGUG